This is a non-coding RNA of Thalictrum thalictroides, 144 nucleotides long. The record is from the annotation of a GenBank genome assembly. Lineage: Eukaryota; Viridiplantae; Streptophyta; Magnoliopsida; Ranunculales; Ranunculaceae.
AUGCAUGUUGCACCCCGGGCUUUUCUGAAAAAAUUACCAUGAAGAAAGAAGCCCCAAUGCUCGUGCUAAAUUGUGUCGUUCAGUGUUGCAGGUCAGCUUUGUUUUUUCCUACAGCUGAUCUGUGUCAAAGUAACGUCUACAUCU